RNAcentral lists this ribosomal RNA (511 nucleotides) under uncultured Actinomycetes bacterium. Its description in RNAcentral is "bacterial SSU rRNA". It matches the Rfam family "Bacterial small subunit ribosomal RNA", at positions 355 to 857 of the family's 1533-position model. Lineage: Bacteria; Bacillati; Actinomycetota; Actinomycetes. The record is from RNAcentral.
UGGGGAAUCUUGCGCAAUGGGCGAAAGCCUGACGCAGCGACGCCGCGUGAGGGAGGAAGGCCUUCGGGUUGUAAACCUCUUUCAGGAGGGACGAAGCUACUCGGGUGAAUAGCCCAGAGGGUGACGGUACCUCCAGAAGAAGCCCCGGCUAACUACGUGCCAGCAGCCGCGGUAAUACGUAGGGGGCAAGCGUUGUCCGGAUUUACUGGGCGUAAAGCGCGUGUAGGCGGCCACGCAGGUCCGUUGUGAAAACUGGAGGCUCAACCUCCAGACGUCGACGGAAACCGUGUGGCUAGAGUCCGGAAGAGGAGAGUGGAAUUCCUGGUGUAGCGGUGAAAUGCGCAGAUAUCAGGAAGAACACCAAUGGCGAAGGCAGCUCUCUGGGACGGUACUGACGCUGAGACGCGAAAGCGUGGGGAGCGAACAGGAUUAGAUACCCUGGUAGUCCACGCCGUAAAACGAUGGGUGCUAGGUGUGGGAGGUGUCGACUCCUUCCGUGCCGUAGCUAACG